UACGUAGGGGGCAAGCGUUAUCCGGAUUUACUGGGUGUAAAGGGAGCGUAGACGGCGGUGCAAGCCAGAUGUGAAAGCCCGGGGCUCAACCCCGGGACUGCAUUUGGAACUGUGCUGCUAGAGUGUCGGAGAGGCAGGCGGAAUUCCUAGUGUAGCGGUGAAAUGCGUAGAUAUUAGGAGGAACACCAGUGGCGAAAGCGGCUCUCUGGUCUGUAACUGACGCUGAGGUUCGAAAGCGUGGGUAGCAAACAGG
This 253-nucleotide ribosomal RNA is filed under the name uncultured bacterium. RNAcentral describes it as "partial 16S ribosomal RNA". It matches the Rfam family "Bacterial small subunit ribosomal RNA", at positions 524 to 776 of the family's 1533-position model. The record is from RNAcentral.